UGGGGGAAUAUUGCACAAUGGGGGGAAACCCUGAUGCAGCGACGCCGCGUGAGCGAAGAAGUAUCUCGGUAUGUAAAGCUCUAUCAGCAGGGAAGAAAAUGACGGUACCUGACUAAGAAGCCCCGGCUAACUACGUGCCAGCAGCCGCGGUAAUACGUAGGGGGCAAGCGUUAUCCGGAUUUACUGGGUGUAAAGGGAGCGUAGACGGCAAUGCAAGUCUGAAGUGAAAGGACGGGGCUUAACCCUGUGACUGCUUUGGAAACUGUCGAUCUAGAGUGUCGGAGAGGUAAGUGGAAUUCCUGGUGUAGUAGUGAAAUGCGUGGAUAUCAGGAAGAACACCGGAGGCGAAGGCGGCUUACUGGACGAUAACUGACGUUGAGGCUCGAAAGCGUGGGGAGC
RNAcentral lists this ribosomal RNA (399 nucleotides) under uncultured Oribacterium sp. RNAcentral's name for it is "bacterial SSU rRNA". It matches the Rfam family "Bacterial small subunit ribosomal RNA", at positions 354 to 769 of the family's 1533-position model. The record is from RNAcentral. Lineage: Bacteria; Bacillati; Bacillota; Clostridia; Lachnospirales; Lachnospiraceae.